UAGAAGUUGACUGACUAUCUAGCCCACACUGCUGCACAAUCAUUGUUUUUUUGUCUAAUUCUAAUAUGAAUGCACGUGUGAAUUGGCAUAAUGUGUUAUGUGUGUGGGUGUGAAAUUACAUUCCCCCAUGCCUAUAGUACCCCCAGUGUUUUAGGUUUUAGAUGUUUAAAUGAAUCACACUUUGUCUUAAAUAGGAUAGGGUAUGUUUAUAUGGAUGUCAAAGCAUGCCUGAUGUUGAUAUGACUCUGAAUAUCUGUUCAGAAAUGUGGCUCCUCAGCCUGAUGGCCUGUCUGGUUAAGACACUGCUUCUGCCAUCCCAUCCCCCGUGCCAUUCCCCUACCCCCCACUGCCCCCCUCUCUCACUUGUACACUUGGGAUUUUUCCGCUUCUGUCCCUGGGCAGCCUCAGUGACCAGGCUCAAGAGGUGUGUCCUGGCUGUGCUGUACAUCUGUGUGCUUAACCCCUUAGCACAGCACCUAUGUUAUAACCUUACUGUCACCAAAAUUUUAAUAUGUAUGUCUUAAUCUGUUACUCUGCACUGUCAUAGCAAUGUUGUUAUGAUGUAGUUUUCAGCAAAUAGUGAAUAAGCCCGCUGGCAACCCCAUCUGCACUGCAGUAAGAGGCUACGGAAUGCUUUUUUGGGAGGUGCAACACCCAUCGCCAUUUUUUUUUUUUUUACAAUACCACUCCACCAGGAAAAAUGUCUAAUUGUUUGCCUGUCUAUUUAUUCAUUCUUUUUUCUUUUCUUUUGUACAAGGCAAGUUGCAGGAAGCAGCUGAAGUAAAGGAAGCCAAGAGUAUCCUCAUUCACAUCAAGGACAGAGACUGUGUGGCUCUGGAGGUGCAGUACCACAGAAGUUGCUACAGAGAGUACACAAGGUUUUUGAGUGAGCCUGUCAGAGCAGAGAAAGAACAGAUUGGGCCAACAUUUGAUCUGAGCUACAAGUUAUUCUGCGAGAGGGUAAUCCGCUAAAGGCUACUGAUCAACCAAGAGGUGCUGAGGAUGAGCCAACUGAGGAAGGCCUUUAUUGCCCUUGUGCAGUCAAGUGAAGGUGUUGAUGCUUCAACCUACAGACAGGAUAUAUUGAAGAAGAGGCUCAGUCGUGAUUUUCCUCAGCUAGUGUUCCACACCCCCGCCAAACGCAACACAUCUGAACUGGUUUUUGCUGAGAACUUGUCGACGAAUGCAGUCUUGGACUUGUUACCAUCAGGUGCGGAGACGACUCAGUCCAGCGAAAUGAGCCAGACAGACAGCGACACAGAAAGGAGGAAGUCAAAGCAACCAACCACAGCAGAGGAGACACGGACACUUUACACAG
This is a long non-coding RNA of Engraulis encrasicolus (European anchovy), 1318 nucleotides long. RefSeq lists it as uncharacterized. The transcript is spliced from 3 exons. The record is from RefSeq and is a predicted model, not a curated record. NCBI's taxonomy places the organism in Eukaryota, Metazoa, Chordata, Actinopteri, Clupeiformes, Engraulidae.